This 269-nucleotide ribosomal RNA is filed under the name uncultured prokaryote. Its description in RNAcentral is "partial 16S ribosomal RNA". It matches the Rfam family "Bacterial small subunit ribosomal RNA", at positions 524 to 792 of the family's 1533-position model. The record is from RNAcentral.
UACGUAGGGGGCAAGCGUUGUCCGGAAUUAUUGGGCGUAAAGCGCGCGCAGGCGGUCCUUUAAGUCUGAUGUGAAAGCCCACGGCUUAACCGUGGAGGGUCAUUGGAAACUGAGGGACUUGAGUACAGAAGAGGAGAGUGGAAUUCCACGUGUAGCGGUGAAAUGCGUAGAGAUGUGGAGGAACACCAGUGGCGAAGGCGACUCUCUGGUCUGUAACUGACGCUGAGGUGCGAAAGCGUGGGUAGCAAACAGGAUUAGAUACCCUGGUA